CAGCAAAGAUGGGAUAAAAAGGACACUCCUGAGAUACCAGCGUGGACCAAGCGGCUGCAGGUCAAAACCCCGAGGACAAGAAGGGGAGAAAUAAAGCAAAGGAAAGGGGAAAAAAGGCUCCAUAAAACCGCGGUAUUUUUGCUCCAUAAUUCUUGUGCACGAAGACCCAAAGAAGAAGACGGAUU
This is a non-coding RNA of Cyanistes caeruleus (blue tit), 185 nucleotides long. The record is from RefSeq and is a predicted model, not a curated record. NCBI's taxonomy places the organism in Eukaryota, Metazoa, Chordata, Aves, Passeriformes, Paridae.